CCAAAAGUGCAGAGGUGAGGGUGUGGCAGUAGCAACCAUACAAGGUCAGAACAGACAAGGUAUCUUGGCAAUGACUGUCAGAAGCUUGAAAAGUUUACCCAAGUGUCAUACACUUAUGGAGGGCUUUUAGUAUCAUACUUUUUAGGUCCCUCACCCGCUUCCAAGUACGGUAAAGGUUGAGAGCUACUACCUUAGGCAUUAAAUGUCGAGUCCUGUACUUGUAAUUAAGGUAGAACUACUACCUUUGUUAAUAAAUUUGAAGUGCAUUUAAAAACAGUGUGGUAAAUAGUAGUAUUAGCAGUAGCAGUAGAUAAUUAUGAUGAUGGUGGUAAUAACAGUUCUUUAGUAAUAGCUACUUAAUUUCUAUGUUCAUAGCCCUUUGAUAAGCACAUUGUAUUUAUUUUAUCACUGAUUCCUCACAGCAACCUUAAGAGACAGGAAUUUUUACUGUCUCCAUUGCAUAAUAAGGGA
This 471-nucleotide long non-coding RNA is filed under the name Pan troglodytes (chimpanzee). RNAcentral's name for it is "long non-coding RNA NONPTRT010326". Lineage: Eukaryota; Metazoa; Chordata; Mammalia; Primates; Hominidae. The record is from RNAcentral.